GCUCGUGGUUCCUUUUUCCUAUGCAUAUACUUCUUUGAGAAUAAAAUCUAAAGAGGCGUAGGGCAUGGGAAAAUGGGGCCACGGAGCU
This 88-nucleotide microRNA precursor is filed under the name Notamacropus eugenii (tammar wallaby). RNAcentral's name for it is "miRNA (ENSMEUG00000017050.1)". The stretch from base 6 to 81 matches the Rfam family "mir-202 microRNA precursor family". Lineage: Eukaryota; Metazoa; Chordata; Mammalia; Diprotodontia; Macropodidae. The record is from RNAcentral.